GAAAUGAAAAAUCAGGAGGUCUAGAAGGAGUCAUAGUUCCACUAAUCAGGAGGUCUAGAAGGAGUCAUAGUUCCACUAAUCAGGAGGUCUAGAAGGAGUCAUAGUUCCACUAAUCAGGAGGUCUAGAAGGAGUCAUAGUUCCACUAAUCAGGAGGUCUAGAAGGAGUCAUAGUUCCACUAAUCAGGAGGACUAGAAGGAGUCAUAGUUCCACUAAUCAGGAGGUCUAGAAGGAGUCAUAGUUCCACUAAUCAGGAGGUCUAGAAGGAGUCAUAGUUCCACUAAUCAGGAGGUCUAGAAGGAGUCAUAGUUCCACUAAUCAGGAGGUCUAGAAUGAGUCAUAGUUCCACUGAUCAGGAGGUCUAGGAGGAGUCAUAGUUCCACUAAUCAGGAGGUCUAGGAGGAGUCAUAGUUCCACUAAUCAGGAGGUCUAGAAGGAGUCAUAGUUCCACUAAUCAGGAGGUCUAGAAGGAGUCAUAGUUCCACUAAUCAGGAGGUCUAGAAGGAGUCAUAGUUCCACUAAUCAGGAGGUCUAGAAUGAGUCAUAGUUCCACUGAUCAGGAGGUCUAGGAGGAGUCAUAGUUCCACUAAUCAGGAGGUCUAGGAGGAGUCAUAGUUCCACUAAUCAGGAGGUCUAGAAGGAGUCAUAGUUCCACUAAUCAGGAGGUCUAGAAGGAGUCAUAGUUCCACUGAUCAGGAGGUCUAGAAGGAGUCAUAGUUCCACUAAUCAGGAGGUCUAGAAGGAGUCACAGUUCCACUAUUUAGGAGGUCUAG
This is a long non-coding RNA of Acanthochromis polyacanthus (spiny chromis), 772 nucleotides long. RefSeq lists it as uncharacterized. The transcript has 7 exons. NCBI's taxonomy places the organism in Eukaryota, Metazoa, Chordata, Actinopteri, Pomacentridae. The record is from RefSeq and is a predicted model, not a curated record.